RNAcentral lists this ribosomal RNA (445 nucleotides) under uncultured bacterium. RNAcentral's name for it is "partial 16S ribosomal RNA". It matches the Rfam family "Bacterial small subunit ribosomal RNA", at positions 354 to 796 of the family's 1533-position model. The record is from RNAcentral.
GUAGGGAAUAUUGGGCAAUGGAGGCAACUCUGACCCAGCCAUGCCGCGUGCAGGAUGACGGCCCUCUGGGUUGUAAACUGCUUUUAUACGGGAAGAAAAAAUACUACGUGUAGUAUACUGACGGUACCGUAAGAAUAAGGAUCGGCUAACUCCGUGCCAGCAGCCGCGGUAAUACGGAGGAUCCAAGCGUUGUCCGGAUUUAUUGGGUUUAAAGGGUGCGUAGGCGUAUCUUUAAGUCAGUGGUGAAAGCCUGCAGCUUAACUGUAGAAUUGCCAUUGAAACGGAAGAUCUUGAAUGUGGUUAAAGUAGGCGGAAUGUAUCAUGUAGCGGUGAAAUGCUUAGAUAUGAUACAGAACACCGAUAGCGAAGGCAGCUUGCUGAACCAUUAUUGACGCUGAGGCACGAAAGCGUGGGGAGCGAACAGGAUUAGAUACCCUUGUAGUCC